GGUGAAGAUAAGAUGGAUUAGCGGCGGACGGGUGAGUAACACGUGAGUAACCUGCCUUAGACAUUGGGAUAGCCUCCGGGAAACCGGGAUUAAUACCAAAUGAAAUCACAUAUGCACAUGCAUAAAUGAUCAAAGCUCCGGCGGUCUAAGAUGGACUCGCGUCCCAUUAGCUAGUUGGUGAGGUAACGGCCCACCAAGGCGACGAUGGGUAGCCGGCCUGAGAGGGUGAACGGCCACAUUGGAACUGAGAAACGGUCCAAACUCCUACGGGAGGCAGCAGUGGGGAAUAUUGCACAAUGGAGGGAACUCUGAUGCAGCGACGCCGCGUGAACGAAGAAGGCUUUCGAGUCGUAAAGUUCUUUUAUGUGGGAAGAUAAUGACGGUACCAUAAGAAAAAGCCCCGGCUAACUACGUGCCAGCAGCCGCGGUAAUACGUAGGGGGCUAGCGUUGUCCGGAAUCACUGGGCGUAAAGGGUUCGCAGGCGGAAAUGCAAGUCAGGUGUAAAAGGCAGUAGCUUAACUACUGUAAGCAUUUGAAACUGCAUAUCUUGAGAAGAGUAGAGGUAAGUGGAAUUUUUAGUGUAGCGGUGAAAUGCGUAGAUAUUAAAAAGAAUACCGGUGGCGAAGGCGACUUACUGGGCUCAUUCUGACGCUGAGGAACGAAAGCGUGGGUAGCAAACAGGAUUAGAUACCCUGGUAGUCCACGCUGUAAACGCACUGAGUGCUAGGUAUCUGGAGUAAAUCUGGGUGCCGC
RNAcentral lists this ribosomal RNA (754 nucleotides) under uncultured Clostridia bacterium. RNAcentral's name for it is "bacterial SSU rRNA". It matches the Rfam family "Bacterial small subunit ribosomal RNA", at positions 76 to 849 of the family's 1533-position model. Lineage: Bacteria; Bacillati; Bacillota; Clostridia. The record is from RNAcentral.